RNAcentral lists this ribosomal RNA (475 nucleotides) under Neisseria flavescens. Its description in RNAcentral is "bacterial SSU rRNA". It matches the Rfam family "Bacterial small subunit ribosomal RNA", at positions 30 to 493 of the family's 1533-position model. Lineage: Bacteria; Pseudomonadati; Pseudomonadota; Betaproteobacteria; Neisseriales; Neisseriaceae. The record is from RNAcentral.
AUUGAACGCUGGCGGCAUGCUUUACACAUGCAAGUCGGACGGCAGCACAGAGAAGCUUGCUUCUUGGGUGGCGAGUGGCGAACGGGUGAGUAAUAUAUCGGAACGUACCGAGUAAUGGGGGAUAACUAAUCGAAAGAUUAGCUAAUACCGCAUAUUCUCUGAGGAGGAAAGCAGGGGACCUUUGGGCCUUGCGUUAUUCGAGCGGCCGAUAUCUGAUUAGCUAGUUGGUGGGGUAAAGGCCUACCAAGGCGACGAUCAGUAGCGGGUCUGAGAGGAUGAUCCGCCACACUGGGACUGAGACACGGCCCAGACUCCUACGGGAGGCAGCAGUGGGGAAUUUUGGACAAUGGGCGCAAGCCUGAUCCAGCCAUGCCGCGUGUCUGAAGAAGGCCUUCGGGUUGUAAAGGACUUUUGUCAGGGAAGAAAAGGCUGUUGCUAUAUCGACAGCUGAUGACGGUACCUGAAGAAUAAGCAC